AAGAUAUUUUAUUUUAGUAUGAAAAUAAUGGUUUAAAAUUUUAAUUUUAUACAUGCUAUUUUUUGAGUUAUAUUAUAAUAUCUUAAUGAUUUAUAAUUUAUUUUAGCAGUGUUUAAUAUUGUUUAUAUUUUAUUAUUUAAAGAUACAGUUUUUAAUUAUUUUUGACUAGCAAAAAUUGUGCCAGCAGCUGCGGUUACACAAUUAGUCAUUAUCAUUGUUUUAGGGAUAUAUUUAUUGUUUUUGUUUAAUUUUAUUUUGUUAGAUUCUGAAGUGAAAUUUGAAUUUAUAAUUUAUUUAAGUUUGGUUUAUGAUAAUAUAUGAAAUUUAUUUAAUAAAGACUAGGAUUAGAUACCCUAUUAUUGUAAAUUUAAAAUUUAAUCUCUAGUAUUAAUAGUUAAGGUCUUUAAAUUAAAAAAAUUUGACGGUGAUUUAAUCUUUUCAGAGGAACCUGUCCUGUAAUCGAUAUUCCACGAUAAAUUUUACUUUGAUUUUGGUUUGUAUAUCUCUGUUUAUUGAGUGUUUUAUUAGAAUUUAUUCUCUUUUAAUUUUUAUAAAUUUAAUUUCAGGUCAAGGUGCAACUAUAUUAAAGUUUGAGAUGGGUUACAUUUAUUAAAUAAUUUUGGAUUAAGAAUUAUUGAAUCUGUAUUAGUUCUUAUGAAAUUGGAUUUGACUGUAAUAAUCAUUAUAUUUUGAUUAUGAUAUUUGUUCUAGAUUGAGUACACAUCGCCCGUCACUCUCAUUAUUAAAGUGAGAUAAGUCGUAACAAAGUAGGCCUAUCGGAAGAUGGGCCUAGAAUUAU
This 799-nucleotide non-coding RNA is filed under the name Chrysocoris stollii. The record is from RNAcentral. Lineage: Eukaryota; Metazoa; Arthropoda; Insecta; Hemiptera; Scutelleridae.